UACGGGGGGGGCAAGCGUUGUUCGGAAUUACUGGGCGUAAAGGGCUCGUAGGUGGCCAACUAAGUCAUACGUGAAAUCCCUCGGCUUAACCGGGGAACUGCGUCUGAUACUGGAUGGCUUGAGGUUGGGAGAGGGAUGCGGAAUUCCAGGUGUAGCGGUGAAAUGCGUAGAUAUCUGGAGGAACACCGGUGGCGAAGGCGGCAUCCUGGACCAAUACUGACACUGAUGAGCGAAAGCCAGGGGAGCAAACGGG
RNAcentral lists this ribosomal RNA (253 nucleotides) under uncultured bacterium. RNAcentral's name for it is "partial 16S ribosomal RNA". It matches the Rfam family "Bacterial small subunit ribosomal RNA", at positions 524 to 776 of the family's 1533-position model. The record is from RNAcentral.